GGAAUAUUGGACAAUGGGGGCAACCCUGAUCCAGCCAUGCCGCGUGUGCGAAGAAGGCCUUCGGGUUGUAAACCGCUUUUGUCAGGGAAGAAAAGCUCCGGGCUAAUACCUCGGAGUCAUGACGGUACCUGACGACUACGCACCGGCUAACUACGUGCCAGCAGCCGCGGUAAUACGUAGGGUGCAAGCGUUAAUCGGAAUUACUGGGCGUAAAGCGUGCGCAGGCGGUCAUGCAAGACAGAUGUGAAAUCCCCGGGCUCAACCUGGGAACUGCAUUUGUGACUGCAUGGCUAGAGUGCGGCAGAGGGGGAUGGAAUUCCGCGUGUAGCAGUGAAAUGCGUAGAUAUGCGGAGGAACACCGAUGGCGAAGGCAAUCCCCUGGGCCUGCACUGACGCUCAUGCACGAAAGCGUGGGGAGCAAA
RNAcentral lists this ribosomal RNA (422 nucleotides) under uncultured bacterium. Its description in RNAcentral is "bacterial SSU rRNA". It matches the Rfam family "Bacterial small subunit ribosomal RNA", at positions 358 to 772 of the family's 1533-position model. The record is from RNAcentral.